GAAAUGCGAUAAGUAAUGUGAAUUUCAGAAUUCCGUGAAUCAUCGAAUCUUUGAACGCACAUUGCGCCCUCUGGCAUUCCGGGGGGCAUGCCUGUCCGAGCGUCAUUACGCACCCUCAAGCCCGGCUUGUGUGAUGGGCCCCGGCGUCUCGUUCGCGAGACGGGCCCGAAAGGCAGCGGCGGCGUCGACCCGAUGAGCCCGAGCGUAUGGGGACUUCUGUCACACGUUCGCGGUGCGGACCGGCGCCUGCUUUGACUUUUCUGAUUAUCCAGGUUGACCUCGGAUCAGGUAGGGAUACCCGCUGAACUUAAGC
Molecule: unclassified non-coding RNA, 313 nt
Filed under: plant metagenome
Description: partial contains 5.8S ribosomal RNA, internal transcribed spacer 2, and large subunit ribosomal RNA
Rfam family: 5.8S ribosomal RNA (bases 1-105)
Source: RNAcentral